Molecule: ribosomal RNA, 466 nt
Filed under: Vreelandella stevensii
Lineage: Bacteria; Pseudomonadati; Pseudomonadota; Gammaproteobacteria; Oceanospirillales; Halomonadaceae
Description: partial 16S ribosomal RNA
Rfam family: Bacterial small subunit ribosomal RNA
Source: RNAcentral
CCUACGGGUGGCUGCAGUGGGGAAUAUUGGACAAUGGGCGAAAGCCUGAUCCAGCCAUGCCGCGUGUGUGAAGAAGGCCUUCGGGUUGUAAAGCACUUUCAGUGGGGAAGAAAGCCUUGGGGCUAAUACCCUCGAGGAAGGACAUCACCCACAGAAGAAGCACCGGCUGAACUCCGUGCCAGCAGCCGCGGUAAUACGGAGGGUGCGAGCGUUAAUCGGAAUUACUGGGCGUAAAGCGCGCGUAGGCGGUCUGAUAAGCCGGUUGUGAAAGCCCCGGGCUCAACCUGGGAACGGCAUCCGGAACUGUCAGGCUAGAGUGCAGGAGAGGAAGGUAGAAUUCCCGGUGUAGCGGUGAAAUGCGUAGAGAUCGGGAGGAAUACCAGUGGCGAAGGCGGCCUUCUGGACUGACACUGACGCUGAGGUGCGAAAGCGUGGGUAGCAAACAGGAUUAGAUACCCUAGUAGUC